Molecule: ribosomal RNA, 424 nt
Filed under: Fusobacteriota bacterium
Lineage: Bacteria; Fusobacteriati; Fusobacteriota
Description: Fusobacteria bacterium partial 16S ribosomal RNA
Rfam family: Bacterial small subunit ribosomal RNA
Source: RNAcentral
UGAGGAAUAUUGGUCAAUGGGCGAGAGCCUGAACCAGCCAAGUAGCGUGCAGGAUGACGGCCCUAUGGGUUGUAAACUGCUUUUAUGUGGGGAUAAAGUGCGUGACGUGUCAUGCAUUGCAGGUACCACAUGAAUAAGGACCGGCUAAUUCCGUGCCAGCAGCCGCGGUAAUACGGAAGGUCCGGGCGUUAUCCGGAUUUAUUGGGUUUAAAGGGAGCGUAGGCUGUCUAUUAAGCGUGUUGUGAAAUUUACCGGCUCAACCGGUGGCUUGCAGCGCGAACUGGUCGACUUGAGUAUGCAGGAAGUAGGCGGAAUUCAUGGUGUAGCGGUGAAAUGCUUAGAUAUCAUGACGAACUCCGAUUGCGCAGGCAGCUUACUGUAGAAUAACUGACGCUGAUGCUCGAAAGUGCGGGUAUCAAACAGG